This 230-nucleotide long non-coding RNA is filed under the name Mustela putorius furo (domestic ferret). RNAcentral describes it as "lncRNA (ENSMPUG00000026643.1)". Lineage: Eukaryota; Metazoa; Chordata; Mammalia; Carnivora; Mustelidae. The record is from RNAcentral.
CCUAGACAACCAUGUUCACCGGCCCUCAUUCAGUGAAAACAAGGUCUUCAGCUGAGAGUGAGGUGCUGUCAGACCCGUGGAGAGAGGGCAACUGUGCAGUGACGUCUGGGAGGGGAGAGGAGUGAACCGAGCUGGGACGUGCACCGACACAAUUCCCACCACCAGCAGAAUAUUCAGGUAUUUUUCCUAGCCCAUAUUUAACUCAUAUGGGCACCUCGUUAACAGAGUUG